RNAcentral lists this ribosomal RNA (390 nucleotides) under uncultured bacterium. Its description in RNAcentral is "bacterial SSU rRNA". It matches the Rfam family "Bacterial small subunit ribosomal RNA", at positions 30 to 424 of the family's 1533-position model. The record is from RNAcentral.
AUUGAACGCUGGCGGCAUGCCUUACACAUGCAAGUCGAACGGCAGCGGACCUUCGGGUGCCGGCGAGUGGCGAACGGGUGAGUAAUAUAUCGGAACGUACCUUUCAGUGGGGGAUAACGUAGCGAAAGUUACGCUAAUACCGCAUAUUCUGUGAGCAGGAAAGCAGGGGAUCGCAAGACCUUGCGCUGAUUGAGCGGCCGAUAUCAGAUUAGCUAGUUGGUGAGGUAAAGGCUCACCAAGGCGACGAUCUGUAGCGGGUCUGAGAGGAUGAUCCGCCACACUGGAACUGAGACACGGUCCAGACUCCUACGGGAGGCAGCAGUGGGGAAUUUUGGACAAUGGGCGCAAGCCUGAUCUAGCCAUGCCGCGUGAGUGAAGAAGGCCUCGGUU